GACGAAUGCUGGCGGCGCGCUUAAUACUUGCAAGUCGAGCGAGAACCAGGGCUUCGGCCCUGGGGACAGCGGCGAACGGGUGAGUAACACGUGGGUAAUCAACCCCCGACACCGGGAUAGCCCAGGGAAACUUGGAUUAAUACCGGAUGCCCCGUCUGGCCUUCGGGCCGGCCGGAAAAGGGUAGCUUCGGCCUCUGGUCGGGGACGAGCCCGCGGCGGAUUAGCUUGUUGGGGAGGUAAAGGCUCACCAAGGCGACGAUCCGUAGCUGGGCUGGGGGGACGAUCAGCCGCACUGGGACUGAGACACGGCCCAGACUCCUACGGGAGGCAGCAGUAGGGAAUCUUGCGCAAUGGGCGAAAGCCUGACGCAGCGACGCCGCGUGAGGGAAGAAGGCCUUCGGGUUGUAAACCUCUUUCAGGAGGGACGAAGCCACUCGGGUUAAUAGCCUAGAGGGUGACGGUACCUCCAGAAGAAGCCCCGGCUAACUACGUGCCAGCCGCCGCCGUAA
This 509-nucleotide ribosomal RNA is filed under the name uncultured bacterium. RNAcentral's name for it is "partial 16S ribosomal RNA". It matches the Rfam family "Bacterial small subunit ribosomal RNA", at positions 28 to 523 of the family's 1533-position model. The record is from RNAcentral.